GAACUGAAGAGUUUGAUCCUGGCUCAGAUUGAACGCUGGCGGCAUGCCUUACACAUGCAAGUCGAACGGCAGCACGGGUGCUUGCACCUGGUGGCGAGUGGCGAACGGGUGAGUAAUACAUCGGAACAUGUCCUGUAGUGGGGGAUAGCCCGGCGAAAGCCGGAUUAAUACCGCAUACGAUCCACGGAUGAAAGCGGGGGACCUUCGGGCCUCGCGCUAUAGGGUUGGCCGAUGGCUGAUUAGCUAGUUGGUGGGGUAAAGGCCUACCAAGGCGACGAUCAGUAGCUGGUCUGAGAGGACGACCAGCCACACUGGGACUGAGACACGGCCCAGACUCCUACGGGAGGCAGCAGUGGGGAAUUUUGGACAAUGGGCGAAAGCCUGAUCCAGCAAUGCCGCGUGUGUGAAGAAGGCCUUCGGGUUGUAAAGCACUUUUGUCCGGAAAGAAAUCCCUGGCUCUAAUACAGUCGGGGGAUGACGGUACCGGAAGAAUAAGCACCGGCUAACUACGUGCCAGCAGCCGCGGUAAUACGUAGGGUGCGAGCGUUAAUCGGAAUUACUGGGCGUAAAGCGUGCGCAG
RNAcentral lists this ribosomal RNA (580 nucleotides) under Burkholderia multivorans. RNAcentral describes it as "bacterial SSU rRNA". It matches the Rfam family "Bacterial small subunit ribosomal RNA", at positions 1 to 574 of the family's 1533-position model. Lineage: Bacteria; Pseudomonadati; Pseudomonadota; Betaproteobacteria; Burkholderiales; Burkholderiaceae. The record is from RNAcentral.